GCCGAAGUGGUGGAAUUGGUAGACACGCUAGCUUGAGGGGCUAGUGAGCAUAAUUCGCUCGUAGGGGUUCGAGUCCCCUCUUCGGCA
RNAcentral lists this transfer RNA (87 nucleotides) under Acidobacteriota bacterium. RNAcentral's name for it is "tRNA-Leu". It matches the Rfam family "tRNA". Rfam says of the family: Transfer RNA (tRNA) molecules are approximately 80 nucleotides in length. Their secondary structure includes four short double-helical elements and three loops (D, anti-codon, and T loops). The record is from RNAcentral. Lineage: Bacteria; Pseudomonadati; Acidobacteriota. RNAcentral also lists the same sequence under 3 other names.